GGGCGCUUAGCUCAUCUGGUUAGAGCGCGGUCCUGAUAAGACCGAGGUGCAUGGUUCGACCCCAUGAGCGCCCACAA
RNAcentral lists this transfer RNA (77 nucleotides) under Candidatus Collierbacteria bacterium. RNAcentral describes it as "tRNA-Ile". Lineage: Bacteria; Candidatus Collieribacteriota. The record is from RNAcentral.